CUGGCUCAGAACGAACGCUGGCGGCGUGGCUAAAGCAUGCAAGUCGAGCGCGAACGUCCCUUCGGGGAACUACUAGAGCGGCGAACGGGUGAGGAAUACAUGGGUAACGUACCUCCGGCACAGGGACAGCCGCGGGAAACUGCGGAUAAUACCUGAUGAGACCACAGCGACGUAAGUUGCAGUGGUCAAAGGGUGGGGAUCCCUUCGGGGACCUAUCGGCCGGAGAGCGGCCCAUGUCCUAUCAGCUUGUUGGUGGGGUAACGGCCUACCAAGGCAUCGACGGGUACCGGGAUUGAGAGGUUGACCCGGCACACUGGGACUGAGACACUGCCCAGACUCCUACGGGAGGCUGCAGCAACGAAUCUUCGGCAAUGGGCGCAAGCCUGACCGAGCGACGCCGCGUGCGGGAAGAAGCCCUUCGGGGUGUAAACCGUUGUCAGGGGUCACCAAGCAAACGGGCCCAACAGGUCCGGGCGCUGAGGAGCCCCAAAGGAAGCCACGGCUAACUUCGUGCCAGCAGCCGCGGUAAGACGAAGGUGGCAAGCGUUGUUCGGAAUCACUGGGCUUAAAGAGCACGUAGGCGGCUCAUCAAGCGUCUUGUGAAAGCCCUCGGCUUAACCGAGGAACGGCAGGGCGAACUGAUGGGCUUGAGGCAGGCAGGGGCGAGUGGAACUCUCGGUGGAGCGGUGGAAUGCGUAGAUAUCGAGAGGAACGCCAGAGGCGAAGGCGACUCGCUGGGCCCGUCCUGACGCUGAGGUGCGAAAGCCAGGGGAGCGAACGGGAUUAGAUACCCCGGUAGUCCUGGCUGUAAACGAUGUCCACUAGGUCGAAGGCCCUCUGACGGGUUUUCGGCUGAAAUGAAAACGAUAAGUGGACCGCCUGGGGAGUACGGUCGCAAGGCUAAAACUCAAAGGAAUUGACGGGGGCUCACACAAGCGAUGGAGCAUGUUGCUCAAUUCGAUGCUACGCGAAGAACCUUAUCCUGGGCUUGACAUGCACGGAUGCCCUUGCCGAAAGGACAAGGGUUGCCCUUCGGGGUGAAACGUGCACAGGUGCUGCAUGGCUGUCGUCAGCUCGUGUCGUGAGAUGUUGGGUUAAGUCCCGUAACGAGCGAAACCCCUGUCGCUAGUUGCCAGCGGUUCGGCCGGGAACUCUAGCGAGACUGCCGGUGUCAAACCGGAGGAAGGUGGGGAUGACGUCAAGUCCUCAUGGCCUUUAUGCCCAGGGCUGCAAACGUGCUACAAUGGCCGGGACAAACCGACGCCAAGCCGCGAGGCGGAGCAAAUCGGAAAAAGCCGGCCUCAGUUCGGAUUGGAGUCUGCAACUCGACUCCAUGAAGCUGGAAUCGCUAGUAAUCGCGCAUCAGCGCGACGCGGUGAAUGUGUUCCUGAGCCUUGUACACACCGCCCGUCAAGUCAUGGAAGCCGGCAGCGCCCGAAGUCGCC
This 1445-nucleotide ribosomal RNA is filed under the name uncultured organism. RNAcentral's name for it is "bacterial SSU rRNA". It matches the Rfam family "Bacterial small subunit ribosomal RNA". The record is from RNAcentral.